UACAGAGGUCUCAAGCGUUGUUCGGAUUCAUUGGGCGUAAAGGGUGCGUAGGCGGCGCGGUAAGUCGGGUGUGAAAUCUUGGAGCUUAACUCCGAAACUGCAUUCGAUACUGCCGUGCUUGAGGACUGGAGAGGAGACUGGAAUUUACGGUGUAGCGGUGAAAUGCGUAGAUAUCGUAAGGAAGACCAGUGGCGAAGGCGGCCCCCUGGGCCGAACCUGACGCUGAGGCGCGAAGGCUAGGGGAGCGAACGGG
This 253-nucleotide ribosomal RNA is filed under the name uncultured bacterium. RNAcentral's name for it is "partial 16S ribosomal RNA". It matches the Rfam family "Bacterial small subunit ribosomal RNA", at positions 524 to 776 of the family's 1533-position model. The record is from RNAcentral.